UAGGGAAUCUUCGGCAAUGGGGGCAACCCUGACCGAGCAACGCCGCGUGAGUGAAGAAGGUUUUCGGAUCGUAAAGCUCUGUUGUAAGAGAAGAACGUGUGUGAGAGUGGAAGGUUCACACAGUGACGGUAACUUACCAGAAAGGGACGGCUAACUACGUACCAG
RNAcentral lists this ribosomal RNA (165 nucleotides) under uncultured bacterium. RNAcentral describes it as "partial 16S rRNA". It matches the Rfam family "Bacterial small subunit ribosomal RNA", at positions 355 to 511 of the family's 1533-position model. The record is from RNAcentral.